Molecule: ribosomal RNA, 491 nt
Filed under: uncultured bacterium
Lineage: Bacteria
Description: partial 16S ribosomal RNA
Rfam family: Bacterial small subunit ribosomal RNA
Source: RNAcentral
AGUGAACGCUGGCGGUAGGCCUAACACAUGCAAGUCGAACGGCAGCACAGUAAGAGCUUGCUCUUACGGGUGGCGAGUGGCGGACGGGUGAGGAAUACAUCGGAAUCUACUUUUUCGUGGGGGAUAACGUAGGGAAACUUACGCUAAUACCGCAUACGACCUACGGGUGAAAGCAGGGGAUCUUCGGACCUUGCGCGAUUGAAUGAGCCGAUGUCGGAUUAGCUAGUUGGCGGGGCAAAGGCCCACCAAGGCGACGAUCCGUAGCUGGUCUGAGAGGAUGAUCAGCCACACUGGAACUGAGACACGGUCCAGACUCCUACGGGAGGCAGCAGUGGGGAAUAUUGGACAAUGGGCGCAAGCCUGAUCCAGCCAUACCGCGUGGUGAAGAAGGCCUUCGGGUUGUAAAGCCCUUUUGUUGGGAAAGAAAAGCAGCAGGUUAAUACCCCGCUGUUCUGACGGUACCCAAAGAAUAAGCACCGGCUAACUUCGUG